RNAcentral lists this ribosomal RNA (200 nucleotides) under uncultured bacterium. RNAcentral describes it as "partial 16S ribosomal RNA". It matches the Rfam family "Bacterial small subunit ribosomal RNA", at positions 28 to 226 of the family's 1533-position model. The record is from RNAcentral.
GAUGAACGCUGGCGGCGUGCUUAACACAUGCAAGUCGAACGGUGAAAGAGGAGCUUGCUCCUCUGGAUCAGUGGCGAACGGGUGAGUAACACGUGAGUAACCUGCCCCAGACUCUGGGAUAAGCACUGGAAACGGUGUCUAAUACCGGAUACGAGCUUCAGCCGCAUGGCUAGGAGCUGGAAAGAAUUUCGGUCUGGGAU